This 466-nucleotide ribosomal RNA is filed under the name uncultured bacterium. RNAcentral describes it as "partial 16S ribosomal RNA". It matches the Rfam family "Bacterial small subunit ribosomal RNA", at positions 28 to 507 of the family's 1533-position model. The record is from RNAcentral.
GACGAACGCUGGCGGCGUGCUUAACACAUGCAAGUCGAACGGAAAGGCCCUGCUUGCCGGGUACUCGAGUGGCGAACGGGUGAGUAACACGUGGGUGAUCUGCCCCGCACUUCGGGAUAAGCAUGGGAAACUGGGUCUAAUACCGGAUAGGAGCCAUCUUUAGCGUGGUGGUUGGAAAGUUUUUUCGGUUUAGGAUGUGCUCGCGGCCUAUCAGCUUGUUGGUGGGGUAAUGGCCUACCAAGGCGGCGACGGGUAGCCGGCCUACGAGGAUGUACGGCCACUCUAGACCUCGGAGGCAGCCCGGAGUCCUGCGGGGGGCAGCAGUGGGGAAUAUUGCACGAUGGGCGGAAGCCUGAGGCAGCGACGCCGCGUGGGGGUUGAAGGCCUUCGGGUUGUAAACUCCUUUCGCUAGGGACGAAGCUUUGUUGUGACGGUACCUAGAUAGGAAGCACCGGCUAACUACGUG